GACGAACGCUGGCGGCGUGCUUAACACAUGCAAGUCGAACGGAAAGGCCCUGCUUUUGUGGGGUGCUCGAGUGGCGAACGGGUGAGUAACACGUGAGUAACCUGCCCUUUACUUUGGGAUAACUUCAGGAAACUGGGGCUAAUACCGCAUAGGAGCUCCUGCUGCAUGGUGGGGGUUGGAACGUUUCGGCGGUUGGGGGUGGACUCGCGGCGGAUCAGUUUGUUGGUGGGGUAGUGUCUUACCAAGAAUUUGACGGAUAGCCGGCCUGAGAAGCAGACCGGACACAUAGGAACUGAGAUAAAGCGCGGACUCGUGCGGGAGGCAGCGGGGGGGAAUAUUGCACAACGGGCGGAAGCCUGAUGCAGUGACGCCGCGAGCGGGAUGACGGCCUUCGGGUUGUAAACCGCUUUGGCAUGUGACGAAGCGUGAGUGACGGGAAUGGGUAAAGAAGCACCGGCUAACUACGUG
RNAcentral lists this ribosomal RNA (468 nucleotides) under uncultured bacterium. Its description in RNAcentral is "partial 16S ribosomal RNA". It matches the Rfam family "Bacterial small subunit ribosomal RNA", at positions 28 to 507 of the family's 1533-position model. The record is from RNAcentral.